This 450-nucleotide ribosomal RNA is filed under the name uncultured bacterium. RNAcentral's name for it is "bacterial SSU rRNA". It matches the Rfam family "Bacterial small subunit ribosomal RNA", at positions 331 to 795 of the family's 1533-position model. The record is from RNAcentral.
CCAGACUCCUACGGGAGGCAGCAGUGGGGAAUAUUGCACAAUGGGCGAAAGCCUGAUGCAGCAACGCCGCGUGAAGGAAGAAGGGUUUCGGCUCGUAAACUUCUAUCAACAGGGACGAAAGAAAUGACGGUACCUGAAUAAGAAGCCCCGGCUAACUACGUGCCAGCAGCCGCGGUAAUACGUAGGGGGCAAGCGUUAUCCGGAUUUACUGGGUGUAAAGGGAGCGUAGACGGCGAUGCAAGCCAGAUGUGAAAGCCCGGGGCUCAACCCCGGGACUGCAUUUGGAACUGUGUGGCUGGAGUGUCGGAGAGGCAGGCGGAAUUCCUAGUGUAGCGGUGAAAUGCGUAGAUAUUAGGAGGAACACCAGUGGCGAAGGCGGCCUGCUGGACGAUGACUGACGUUGAGGCUCGAAAGCGUGGGGAGCAAACAGGAUUAGAUACCCUUGUACCC